GUAACCAGGUCCAGUAGUUAUACCAAAAAGUCCCAGUUUCAGGUAGAAGAGGAGGACAUAGAGAAGCUGGAAGUCAGGAUUGAUCUAUGGAACAAUGGAAACCUGGUGCAAGAUGUCUUCCUAGGAGAAAUUAAGGUUCCAGUGAAAGUGUUAGGAAAUGAUUCCUUCCAAGCAUGGUACUUACUACAACCAAGAGAAAAUGGAAACAAACCCUCUAAAACUGAUGAUCUGGGAUCACUUAGACUAAAUGUUUGUUAUACUGAAGACUAUGUACUUCCAUCUGAGUACUAUGCUUCUUUAAGAAAUUUGCUGCUAAAAUCACCAGAUGUUCAGCCAGUCUCUGCUUCUGCUGCCUACAUUCUGGGUGAAGUGUGUCGAGAUAAAUAUGAUGCUGUUUUGCCUCUUGUAAGACUAUUGCUGCACCAUCAAAAGAUAGUACCAUUUGUUACUGCAGUGGCCGAACUAGACUUGAAAGACACUCAAGAAGUAAACACAAUCUUCAGAGGAAACACCUUAGCUACUCGAUGUCUAGAUGAGAUGAUGAAAAUAGUGGGAAAGCACUACCUAAAAGUUACUUUAAAGCCAGUCCUAGAUGAGAUAUGCGAGUCCCCUAAACCCUGUGAAAUUGAUCCCAUCAAAUUAAAAGAAGGCGAUAAUGUAGAAGUUCACAAGGAAAAUCUACGUUACUAUGUCGAUAAAGUAUUCAAUACAAUUGUACAGUCAAGUAUAAGUUGCCCUACCUUAAUGUGUGAUGUGUUUUACUCUUUGAGACACCUGGCUGCCAAAAGAUUUCCAAAUGACCCUCAUGUACAGUAUUCUGCAGUGAGCAGCUUUGUGUUUCUUCGUUUCUUUGCUGUCGCUGUAGUCUCACCUCAUACUUUUCAUUUACGACCUCAUCAUCCAGAUGCACAAACUUCUAGAACAUUAACUCUUAUAUCAAAAACCAUCCAAACUUUGGGGAGCUGGGGAAGUUUGUCCAAAAGCAAGCUUUCAAGUUUCAAGGAGACAUUUAUGUGUGAAUUUUUCAAAAUGUUUCAAGAAGAAAAGUUUACAGAAGCUGUUCAAAAGUUUUUAGAUGAAGUGUCAUCUACUGAAAGUAAAGAGCCCAGUGGCAUGAGUGAACCAGUACAUCUAAAAGAAGGUGAAAUGUAUAAAAGAGCUCAGGGAAGAACUCGGAUUGGAAAAAAGAAUUUCAAGAAACGAUGGUUCUGCCUAACAAGCAGAGAGCUCACUUAUCACAAACAACGAGACAAAGAACCAAUUUACAACAUUCCAAUCAAAAACAUCCUCACUGUGGAGAAGCUUGAGGAGAGCGCCUUCAAUAGGAAAAAUAUGUUUCAAGUGAUUUAUGGAGAGAAGCCACUCUAUAUCCAGGCAAAUAACUGUGUGGAAGCUAGUGAGUGGAUAGAAGCUCUCUGCAGGGUAAGCAGGUGUAACCAGAAGAGACUGAGUGUUUAUCAUCCCUCCGCUUUUCUGAAUGGGAACUGGCUUUGCUGCAAGGCCACCACUGAGAAUACAAAGGGCUGCACUCCAUGCACUGCAGGUGUUCCUGCUGAUAUUCAAAUUGAGAUUGAUGGGGAUAGAGAAACCGAAAGAAUUUACUCACUUUUUGCUAUCAACAUGCCUAAACUACAAAAGAUGGAAGAGGCUUGUGGAAGUAUUGCAGUCUAUCAAGGUCCACAGAAAGAACUAGACGACUAUUCUAAUUUCACAAUUGAGGACUCUGUAGCAACUUUUCAAACUCUUCAACAAAUAAUAGCCAUAGUAGAAAAGCUGAAUGAGCCUCAUGAAAAAUAUCGGAAGAAAAGAUCAUCAAGUGCUAAAUACGGCAGUGAAGAAAACCCAAUUGUUGGAAAAGUUUCCUAACGAAAAUAAACUGUGGCUUAUGUGGAUUCAGAAGAAACUGGAAGUGUGUGUUUUUACGUGGUUUUUUUUAUAUAUAUUUUUUUUAAUUCAUGGUGUACACUUGUCCAAAGUAUUUAAGAAUGAACAGAAAUGCUACCUGUGUUCACAAUCUAUUUAAUAUUUAAUAGAGAAAAGUAUCUGGGAAACUGAUCGUGAGGUUUAUUCCUAUUUUGAUGAAGAACUUGAAGCUCCAUGUUCUUGAAGUAUCAGAUGUGAGCAAAUCUAAAUAUUUCUGCAAUUGCUUUUUUUUUCUUUCUUCUUGGAACUUCCUAAAGGAAUAAGCUUUCUAAAGGAGGAAAAUCAACACCAAUUAUUUACUGGAUUACACCUCUCAAUAUACUGGACUCACAUUUAAUCCACCAUCCGUGCCUGCUGUGCCGAAAAUCUUGCAGUGGAAAUCCCAACAUAUGAUGACUCAAUAGGAUCUGAACCUUCACAUUCAGUGCACGACUUCUUUCUCUUCCUUUGUCAAACUAUUAAUUUUAUCAGGACUCCAAGAUUAGCAACACUUUUUGGAAGCUAUCUUUCCUGCAAAUGAGAAGAAUGCAAAUGUGACAAUGCUGUGGUUGGAUACUGUUCACUUUACAUCUUUGCAUCUAAGAUUUUUUUGAAAAUAAAAAAUUGGCACAUUUAGGUCCAGCUCACCUCUCAUUACAGCUAUAUUAAAUAAUCUCUCUAGAAUAAUCACUCCAAGCACUUUAGAUAUCUGGACUGCGCCAGAUUAUAUUUUUAGAUACUUUGUAGUAUCUAAUCUUUAUGAUCAGUUGAAUGAUCAGUGCUGUUAUGUGUUUAAAACAAUGCUUUAUGACCAUUUUUAAUUUCUAGUUAUGUGGGUGGGGUUAUUUGUCAGAUCAAACAAAUUUGAACUGGCAUUCUUGACUUUAGAAAGUUUUGAUUCUUGCUCUCUUCCUCUGAGAAUUAGUUUUUUGUGCUGAAAACCAUAUCUGUACAUAAUCAGUAGAAGCAAGGUAACACUUCGGAGAAGAGAAGGCUAAACUUUCCUUCACCAGUAUUAAAUAUUAUGGUAUACAUGGUAAGUACCAGUAAAAUAAAAUACACUGUGUACAGGUAGUACUUCAUUUUUGUAACAUUUGCUGUUUUUUAGAAUCAUGAUUUGCCCCAGUCAGAGUUGAGAAUGUAAUUCAUCAGUACAAAUAUAGAUCCACAAUGUUUACAAAACUAUAAGCUGUUUAAAAUACUAUUGUAGGAUGCCUUCUUCUCCGAAAAUCCAGACUAGUCAGUACCACAGGAUUGAAAUCACUGUUGAAAUUAAGGUAACUUUUUUCUAUUAGAACAAUCACUUUUUAAUAUUAAAGCAACUGAUUGAAAUCACUUAGGAUUUGAUACCAAUAUCUUCAACAUCACAAUCAUUUAUUACUACUUGCCAUUUUACCAACAAGUAUAGUCCUUUUUGUUUUUGCAUUCCUUUAAGAAUAUAUCCAAUAGUAAAGUAAUUUUACUUGCCCUAAAUUUCAGUUAGAAAAAAAUAAAUUUAUUGUUGACACCCAGCAAUGUAUUCUGUCAAGGUCAAUUUGACCUAGUUUAUUUGCCAAAGAAACAAGGUUUGCCAGAUUUGAACAGCACUAAUAAGUGUUAGAAUUAAGUUUUGCUAUUUAUUGUGACCAGUCUUAUUACAAAAUGUGCUUGUGUGUCUGUUUCUUGAAACCUGUUUCUGUCACUUAACAGCAAAGUUACAUGUAUAACAAGUUUAAAUCUUACAAUAAUAUAAGGGGGGGGGAUUUUGAAAAUGCACUUUUCAUUUGCUUUGAUGGUACUAGACUGUAUAGAAAAGGACAGCUAGGCCUCUAAGACCUGAGGCCUUUAAAAUGUAAUUUGUCAUUUUAUAGUAUGUUUAAAAACGCAGUAGGUACUCUAGAAUUAAAUUAGGUACAAAUAAGAUGAUUAAUAUUAAAGUUGCUUUCACUUUGAUUAGCCUAGACAUUAAAACAUUGCUCAGUAAUUAGUUUUACUUUGACUGUAAAUUCUUUUUUAAUGUAGUUUUAAUUUGUAUAAGGAUGAUGUAUUGUUGAAAAUGUAUUUUUAUUUAAAUUUAUUUUCUUAUAAAAUAUUAAAAACUUUUGUAACAUUGCUUGAGAACAACUCACAAAUAAAU
This is an RNA transcript of Trachemys scripta elegans, 4018 nucleotides long. It is a transcript of the gene named RAS p21 protein activator 2, with no coding region annotated. Lineage: Eukaryota; Metazoa; Chordata; Testudines; Emydidae. The record is from RefSeq and is a predicted model, not a curated record.